RNAcentral lists this transfer RNA (72 nucleotides) under Saccharothrix ecbatanensis. RNAcentral's name for it is "Saccharothrix sp. UTMC 537 tRNA". It matches the Rfam family "tRNA". From Rfam's summary of the family: Transfer RNA (tRNA) molecules are approximately 80 nucleotides in length. Their secondary structure includes four short double-helical elements and three loops (D, anti-codon, and T loops). Lineage: Bacteria; Bacillati; Actinomycetota; Actinomycetes; Pseudonocardiales; Pseudonocardiaceae. The record is from Rfam by way of RNAcentral. RNAcentral also lists the same sequence under 1 other name.
GACCAUGUAGCGCAGUGGUUGACGCGCCCUCCUGCGUGGAGGGAGGACGCCGGUUCGAGUCCGGCCUGGUCC